UGAACAUAACUGAUCCACUUGAUGAAGGUUUGGGUCAUUCUUUUUGCUAUAUUCGACCCGACCCGUAUUCAAAACCCAACCUGUUUUCCGAUGAAGGUCAUUCUUUCUGCUAUAUUCGACCCGACCCGUAUUCAAAACCCAACCUGUUUUCCGAUGAUUCGUCUUCCUCUUCUACUACCACCACUAUUUCCAGCGCCAGCAGCUGUCCUCCGGCGGCGUUCCGUACAAUCUCCGGCGCCUCCAUCUCUGCUAACACCUCCACGCCUUUGUCAACAGCCAUCG
RNAcentral lists this long non-coding RNA (282 nucleotides) under Nicotiana benthamiana. RNAcentral's name for it is "long non-coding RNA (NBEN_LNC012284)". The record is from RNAcentral. Lineage: Eukaryota; Viridiplantae; Streptophyta; Magnoliopsida; Solanales; Solanaceae.